AUGCCGUGACUUCGCAAUCUCUCUCUGAGAAUGCGUACGAGCUGCACGACGAGAAUGGGCACAGCUGAAAUACUGCAUCCGGAAACUUUUAGGUGUAGACGUGGUAAGAGCGAUCCUUCGUUAUCGGGCUCAAGGGGUCCCCUCACACUGCCACGAAGCUGUGCCAGAUCGCUGUCCUUGGGCUAGAACGCACGGAGGGGCUGCCUGUGGGGACUCGAGGCCGCAUUGCCACAGAAGAAAGAAGGGUGUCUAGCGAGACGUGGAUAAGCGGAAUGUGUGCGAGUGCGCCGGGGAGAGCGCGAGCGAGUCGCUAGGCGACGCACAACCAGCAGGGAGGAGCGCACAUUUCUCUUCCCCCAACCCCUGCGGGCUUAGCUGAGGGGUAACUAAAACAAAGCGCGAUGAACAAGAGCCAGAAAAGGGGCUGUGCUUCUACGUUCCCAUGAAAGAAUCUGUGAAUCGACAUCUGCGGACGCGCAUCCCAUGCCAAGGCCCUCUUGUGCCCCUUUUACCUUGGUGGUGCGGCGCUCGCGAGCGCGAUGAUACCCCUCGGAGGGUAUGUGACGCUUCGCCGAAGCUCCGCGGUGCAGGCGCAGCCCCAGCCAUGUGUAUCUAUUGCUCAUGUUUUUGUGCAACCCCCCCCCCCCCACCCACCCACCCUUUUUUUUUCAUGGCACCGCCCCCUUCUACUGUGGGUAUUAAUGCCAG
Molecule: unclassified non-coding RNA, 708 nt
Filed under: Leishmania donovani
Lineage: Eukaryota; Euglenozoa; Kinetoplastea; Trypanosomatida; Trypanosomatidae
Description: gene:unknown
Source: RNAcentral